ACGGGUGCGUAACGCGUGGGAAUCUACCCUUAGGUUCGGAAUAACAGUUGGAAACGACUGCUAAUACCGGAUGAUGACGUAAGUCCAAAGAUUUAUCGCCUAGGGAUGAGCCCGCGUAGGAUUAGCUAGUUGGUGUGGUAAGGGCGCACCAAGGCGACGAUCCUUAGCUGGUCUGAGAGGAUGAUCAGCCACACUGGGACUGAGACACGGCCCAGACUCCUACGGGAGGCAGCAGUGGGGAAUAUUGGACAAUGGGCGAAAGCCUGAUCCAGCAAUGCCGCGUGAGUGAUGAAGGCCUUAGGGUUGUAAAGCUCUUUUACCCGGGAUGAUAAUGACAGUACCGGGAGAAUAAGCUCCGGCUAACUCCGUGCCAGCAGCCGCGGUAAUACGGAGGGAGCUAGCGUUAUUCGGAAUUACUGGGCGUAAAGCGCACGUAGGCGGCUUUGUAAGUUAGAGGUGAAAGCCUGGUGCUCAACACCAGAACUGCCUUUGAUACUGCAUCGCUUGAAUCCAGGAGAGGUGAGUGGAAUUCCGAGUGUAGAGGUGAAAUUCGUAGA
This 557-nucleotide ribosomal RNA is filed under the name uncultured bacterium. RNAcentral's name for it is "bacterial SSU rRNA". It matches the Rfam family "Bacterial small subunit ribosomal RNA", at positions 102 to 694 of the family's 1533-position model. The record is from RNAcentral.